This 492-nucleotide ribosomal RNA is filed under the name uncultured bacterium. RNAcentral's name for it is "partial 16S ribosomal RNA". It matches the Rfam family "Bacterial small subunit ribosomal RNA", at positions 29 to 507 of the family's 1533-position model. The record is from RNAcentral.
AGUGAACGCUGGCGGUAGGCCUAACACAUGCAAGUCGAACGGCAGCACAGUAAGAGUUCGCUCCUACGGGUGGCGAGUGGCGGACGGGUGAGGAAUACAUAGGAAUCCACUUUUACGGGGGGGAUAACGGAGGGAAACUUACGCUAAUACCGAAUAUUACCUACGGGUGAAAUCAGGAGUGCUUCGGACCUUGCGUGUUACAAUGAGCCGAUGUCGGAUUAGCUAGUUGGCGAGGUAAAGGCCCACCAAGGCGACGAUCCGUAGCUGAUCUGAGAGGAUGAUCCGCCACACUGGAACUGAGACACGGUCCAGACUCCUACGGGAGGCAGCAGUGGGGAAUAUUCGACAAUGGGCGCAAGCCUGAUCCAGCCAUGCCGCGUGGGUGAAGAAGGCCUUCGGAUUGUAAAGCCCUGUUAUUGGGGAAGAAAAUCUGCAGGUUAAUCCCCGGCUGUCUUGACGGUACCCAAACAAUAAGCACCGGCUAACUUCGUG